GAUGAACGCUAGCGGCAGGCUUAACACAUGCAAGUCGAGGGGUAUUUAUCUUCGGAUAGAGAGACCGGCGCACGGGUGCGUAACGCGUAUGCAAUCUACCUUUUACAUAGGGAUAGCCCAGAGAAAUUUGGAUUAAUACCUCAUAGUAUAUAGACUCGGCAUCGAGAUUAUAUUAAAGUCACAACGGUAAAAGAUGAGCAUGCGUCCCAUUAGCUAGUUGGUAAGGUAACGGCUUACCAAGGCUACGAUGGGUAGGGGUCCUGAGAGGGAGAUCCCCCACACGGGGACGGAGACCCGGACCAGACUACUACGGGAGGCAGCAGUGAGGAAUAUAGGACAAUGGGAGCAAGCCUGAUCCAGCCAUGCCGCGUGCAGGAGGACGGUCCUAUGGAUUGUAAACUGCCUUUAUACGAGAAGAAACACUGCUACGUGUAGCAGCUUGACGGUAUCGUAAGAAUAAGGAUCGGCUAACUACGUG
Molecule: ribosomal RNA, 478 nt
Filed under: uncultured bacterium
Lineage: Bacteria
Description: partial 16S ribosomal RNA
Rfam family: Bacterial small subunit ribosomal RNA
Source: RNAcentral